UAGGGAAUCUUCGGCAAUGGGGGGAACCCUGACCGAGCAACGCCGCGUGAGUGAAGAAGGUUUUCGGAUCGUAAAGCUCUGUUGUUAAGGAAGAACGAGUGUGAGAAUGGAAAGUUCAUGCUGUGACGGUACUUAACCAGAAAGGGACGGCUAACUACGUGCCAGCAGCCGCGGUAAUACGUAGGUCCCGAGCGUUGUCCGGAUUUAUUGGGCGUAAAGCGAGCGCAGGCGGUUAGAAAAGUCUGAAGUGAAAGGCAGUGGCUCAACCAUUGUAGGCUUUGGAAACUGUUUAACUUGAGUGCAGAAGGGGAGAGUGGAAUUCCCUGUGUAGCGGUGAAAUGCGUAGAUAUAUGGGGGAACACCGGUGGCGAAAGCGGCUCUCUGGUCUGUAACUGACGCUGAGGCUCGAAAGCGUGGGGAGCGAACAGG
This 429-nucleotide ribosomal RNA is filed under the name Verrucomicrobiota bacterium. RNAcentral describes it as "Verrucomicrobia bacterium partial 16S ribosomal RNA". It matches the Rfam family "Bacterial small subunit ribosomal RNA", at positions 355 to 776 of the family's 1533-position model. Lineage: Bacteria; Pseudomonadati; Verrucomicrobiota. The record is from RNAcentral.